This 100-nucleotide non-coding RNA is filed under the name Peptococcaceae bacterium. RNAcentral's name for it is "Guanine sequence". It matches the Rfam family "Purine riboswitch aptamer". From Rfam's summary of the family: Riboswitches are metabolite binding domains within certain messenger RNAs that serve as precision sensors for their corresponding targets. Allosteric rearrangement of mRNA structure is mediated by ligand binding, and this results in modulation of gene expression. A class of riboswitches that selectively recognises guanine and becomes saturated at concentrations as low as 5 nM. The record is from RNAcentral. Lineage: Bacteria; Bacillati; Bacillota; Clostridia; Eubacteriales; Peptococcaceae.
AAUUUAAUAAAAAUUAUUUCUCAUAUAUCCCUGAUAAUAGGGUCAGGGGUUUCUACGAGGCGACCGUAAUUGCUUCUCUAUGAGCCAACAGAUGGUUUAU